CUACAUACGGAGCAAAAUGGAUGAAUCUACACUCUAAAAUAUGUCUGUAUACAUCUGUAUGUAGUCCGUAUUGAAAUCUCUAAAAAUACUUAUAUUUAGGAACAGAGGGAGUGUAUGUUUAUUCUGUUGACCAGCGCCAAAUGCUGUUUCCCCCCUUCUAUCAAACUUGUGUACAUGUUUCCGAAUUAGGAUUAUUCACUGAACUUUGUUUCUUGGAAUAUAUGAUCCACAAAUGUAUGAUUAAUAUAAAAAACAAACGUUAACACUACAGAAUGUGGAUUCAUUUAAUUAUAGGCUUCAUCACUCUAUCAGCUUAGGUUCUUCUUCCGCUACAAUGCUACAUUACCAGUGUAUUGGCUGUGGAGUUGAAACCGGCUUUCUCCUAAAAGUUGAGUUGUUCUAUUGUGCUGCAC
RNAcentral lists this long non-coding RNA (413 nucleotides) under Hordeum vulgare. Its description in RNAcentral is "long non-coding RNA (HVUL_LNC012042)". Lineage: Eukaryota; Viridiplantae; Streptophyta; Magnoliopsida; Poales; Poaceae. The record is from RNAcentral.